AACGCACAUUGCGCCUCUCGGUAUUCCGGGAGGCACGCCUGUUCGAGCGCCAUUACACACUCCAAGCGAAGCUUGAUGUUGGGCGAAGCGGUACCCACCGCCCGCCUGGAACGCGUGGGCGCCCGCCGCCGGACCGCGAACGUAGCAAGACAAUCGUCAAGUCGUUCUGCGGGCUCCGACGGGGGGCAGCCUCAUAAAAACAUUUUAUAUCCAGUUUGGCCUCGGAUCAGGCGGGGAUACCCGCUGAACUUAA
Molecule: unclassified non-coding RNA, 253 nt
Filed under: uncultured fungus
Lineage: Eukaryota; Fungi
Description: sequence contains ITS2
Source: RNAcentral